This 253-nucleotide ribosomal RNA is filed under the name uncultured bacterium. Its description in RNAcentral is "partial 16S ribosomal RNA". It matches the Rfam family "Bacterial small subunit ribosomal RNA", at positions 524 to 776 of the family's 1533-position model. The record is from RNAcentral.
UACGUAGGGUGCAAGCGUUGUCCGGAAUUAUUGGGCGUAAAGAGCUCGUAGGCGGUUUGUCGCGUCUGCUGUGAAAACCCGAGGCUCAACCCCGGGCCUGCAGUCGAUACGGGCAGACUAGAGUGUGGUAGGGGAGACUGGAAUUCCUGGUGUAGCGGUGAAAUGCGCAGAUAUCAGGAGGAACACCGGUGGCGAAGGCGAGUCUCUGGCCCAUAACUGACGCUGAGGAGCGAAAGCGUGGGGAGCGAACAGG